UUUAUGGAGAGUUUGAUCCUGGCUCAGGAUGAACGCUGGCGGCGUGCCUAAUACAUGCAAGUCGAGCGAACGGACGAGAAGCUUGCUUCUCUGAUGUUAGCGGCGGACGGGUGAGUAACACGUGGAUAACCUACCUAUAAGACUGGGAUAACUUCGGGAAACCGGAGCUAAUACCGGAUAAUAUUUUGAACCGCAUGGUUCAAAAGUGAAAGACGGUCUUGCUGUCACUUAUAGAUGGAUCCGCGCUGCAUUAGCUAGUUGGUAAGGUAACGGCUUACCAAGGCAACGAUGCAUAGCCGACCUGAGAGGGUGAUCGGCCACACUGGAACUGAGACACGGUCCAGACUCCUACGGGAGGCAGCAGUAGGGAAUCUUCCGCAAUGGGCGAAAGCCUGACGGAGCAACGCCGCGUGAGUGAUGAAGGUCUUCGGAUCGUAAAACUCUGUUAUUAGGGAAGAACAUAUGUGUAAGUAACUGUGCACAUCUUGACGGUACCUAAUCAGAAAGCCACGGCUAACUACGUGCCAGCAGCCGCGGUAAUACGUAGGUGGCAAGCGUUAUCCGGAAUUAUUGGGCGUAAAGCGCGCGUAGGCGGUUUUUUAAGUCUGAUGUGAAAGCCCACGGCUCAACCGUGGAGGGUCAUUGGAAACUGGAAAACUUGAGUGCAGAAGAGGAAAGUGGAAUUCCAUGUGUAGCGGUGAAAUGCGCAGAGAUAUGGAGGAACACCAGUGGCGAAGGCGACUUUCUGGUCUGUAACUGACGCUGAUGUGCGAAAGCGUGGGGAUCAAACAGGAUUAGAUACCCUGGUAGUCCACGCCGUAAACGAUGAGUGCUAAGUGUUAGGGGGUUUCCGCCCCUUAGUGCUGCAGCUAACGCAUUAAGCACUCCGCCUGGGGAGUACGACCGCAAGGUUGAAACUCAAAGGAAUUGACGGGGACCCGCA
Molecule: ribosomal RNA, 943 nt
Filed under: Staphylococcus aureus
Lineage: Bacteria; Bacillati; Bacillota; Bacilli; Caryophanales; Staphylococcaceae
Description: bacterial SSU rRNA
Rfam family: Bacterial small subunit ribosomal RNA
Source: RNAcentral